This is a long non-coding RNA of Mustela lutreola (European mink), 1665 nucleotides long. RefSeq lists it as uncharacterized. Lineage: Eukaryota; Metazoa; Chordata; Mammalia; Carnivora; Mustelidae. The transcript has 3 exons. The record is from RefSeq and is a predicted model, not a curated record.
AAACAAACUCCUUUCAGACUGGGAAGGCACAUGAAAUGCAAUUCUCUCCAGAACUUCUGAAGAGUGUUCAUCGGGAUUCAUGGCCCGUAUUUUUUCCAGUGAAACACUGGAAACCUGCAAAGUAAUGGGCACUGUGUUGCCAACGCAUCUGCCCUGGGUGAGGGAUCAUGGCCGGCCCCAGGACAGCACCUGGGCCCACGUGACCAAACCCUGGCUCCUGCGGGAAAGAUGAGCUUCCUGAAGACAUUCCUGAGGAGGAAAUCACUAGAAAUGGCCUAACGACGGAGACACCAUGCUGGCAUUCCAACACUGUCACUCCUGCCUGAUCGCUGGUGAGUCUGUCCCACCAGGGGGAGAUGGUUCAAGAGGAGACUUCUGAUCCCCGCCUCACACCUGCUGAGUCCAGAUCUCUGGAGGUGGGACCCGGGAAGCUGGGGGCGUCACAUCCCUCCACGCCACCCUUCUGGCACUAACAUUUGAGAACGGUGUCUUAGAAGGCAGAAUCAAGAGCUCACCAGAAGUUCUCCAGCCCCUAAAGUAAAAAGUCAACUAUGAACAUGCCAGCAAGGGCUGUGCUUUCGCUGGGCACUGUGAAGAUGAACGGACGGGGUCCACAGCUAGUAGGAAGGCCACUGUCCUGGUGGGCAAAGCAGGCACCCAAUGACUUCCUGCUGAUGACAGGCACCCUGGCAAGGAAGGGGUAUACAGCCGGGGAUGUGUCCGAUGUACAAAACUCACCGGCUUUCGCAAGGCUCCUGUCCCCAGCCAAUAGGAGCCCUGCCCCCAUUUCCUCCCUACAGAGAGAACUCUGCUCUGCGGAGGUCUGCGGGACCACAGCAGCACGUGGAUGGCCAAGACUGCCUUGCUUCGAACACAAGGAACCAUCUCCAUGACUUUCCAGUUACCAUCAGGUGGUAACUUUAGCAGUUACCAGUUAGCCAGACUUUGCAGUUACCAUCGGGUGGACCCAGAUGGUCUGUGCCACUCAGCAACAUUGACUCUUCCUCCUCGUGGGAGCCUGAAGGAAGGCCCAAGACAGAAAGAAGCACCAGUGAGGACAAGGACAGCAGGAAGGAGCUGGGAUGAUUCCAGCUUCCGACGCGAUGGCUGGAGGCGACGGGGCCGCUAUGAUGCUCACUCUCCCGCAUGGCGGGUCCUGAUCUUGGCCAACGCCCGUAUUUCUAGCGCACCCGAAGAACAAAGAUUCACCUGCCUGCAGGCACUGGGCACAUCGGGGUGGGGUGGUAAGUCCACCGGCGGCGCUCCGUCACCCACACGCGGCCCCCAGCCCUCCCAGAGGGUGCUCCGGAGCUGGCCCGCUGGAGAGCUGGUUUCAAAGCUUGGGCAGCCCCUGUGUUAGCAGCCUUCCUCCAGCAUGGUGGGUAAGGAAAUGAGAGAGGGAAUGUUUAAUGAUUAGUUCCUUAUGGCCCUCACAUUCUUGAAGUGGAUUCUUUACGCCCGCUGGAACGCUUCUACAUUCUUGAUAGCGGGACCGUAAUAUAAGUCCCUUCCUUUCGCAGCGCUGUCUUUUAUUGACACACUAAAAUACCCUCGGAGCAAGAGAUGCCCCCCCUCCCCUCACGCCCCUCCAUCGCCAUGGCCAAGCUCCCAACGCCCGCCAUUCCUUGUUCUCUUUCUAAGAAUGCAAUAAACAUUUCAGCACGG